ACCAAAAACUGACCAAAUCUUCAAAUUGGGAAACCUUAUAAUUCAACUAAGUUUAUUAUUUGAUUAUUAUCUCAUCUUACAAAAUAAAAAGGCUAGAUAGAAACAUAACAUAAGAAUAUAAGAUAGGGCAACAUUAAUUGAGUAUCAUGUGCCACACUAACACCUCUUUUUAACUCUUAUUUUCUCUCUCUUCCUCUUCGUCCUUCUCUCUCUCUCUUUCUGUCACUCCACGCUCAGAUUUGCAAACAAUGGCUGAACCUUCCAAGGUCAUCCAUGUACGAAACGUGGGGCAUGAGAUAUCCGAAAAUGAUUUGCUUCAGCUCUUUCAGCCUUUUGGAGUCAUAACAAAGCUUGUGAUGUUGCGUGCAAAAAAUCAGGUUUCCUUUUUAAAUUCAUGCCUCAAAAUGAGACUUUUGGUUUUCCUUCAGAAAUUUAAGGGUGCUUUAUUUUAUCUUUUUUUUGUUAAUCUGCUACUUAUUUCAGUCUCUUGUCCAAAUGCAAUAUGUUACUUCAGCCAUUAAUGCUUUACAAUUUUAUGCAAAUGUUCAGCCAACCAUAAGGGGGAGGAAUGUUUAUGUCCAGUUUUCCUCACAUCAAGAACUAACAUCAAUGGAUCAAAAUCAAGGGCGUGGAGAUGAGGAUGGCAUUUUAGAGUUCUCAUGUUUAAGUUAAAAGUUAUUACUGAAAGUUCAUGGUGUCAAUCGAUAAUUGAUCCAUGUAACGACUCAUAUGGUAGUAUAUAUUUUGAUAAAUAGACUUAUGAAUAAGUUAUCUGUGCUUGGAUACAUGGUUACAUUAGUGCUUGUUUUGAGUGUUUUAAAAUAUGCUUCUUAAGAAGCUAGAUAAUUUAUUGUGUAGUGGAAUGUAGCUUCUGUUUCUAUA
Arachis ipaensis is the source of this 882-nucleotide non-coding RNA. NCBI's taxonomy places the organism in Eukaryota, Viridiplantae, Streptophyta, Magnoliopsida, Fabales, Fabaceae. The record is from RefSeq and is a predicted model, not a curated record.